CCAUCUCUGUGUUCUCAUGGGAAUCUUCAGAGCUUUCGUUCCCUUGAAGGGACCAGACCCUCACCCAGCCACCUGCUUUUAGCAGCCAUUACAGGCUGCAGAAAAGACACAGUCCGAUAGAUAUAGACCUCUAACUCAGCAACAUGUGCUGAGCUUCCUGACCUUGCCUGACCUCCUUAGUCACUAGGAAGCCAGAUACCUCCAUGUGGCAAGGAUCCAAUCAGAAGUUAGCUGGCAGAUUCUGGAUGUGCUUUAUGGUAACAGUGAUGGUACAGAACAUAGCAACAUCCCUGGGAGGGCCUAUAGGCCAUAAUAACCAGCUGACCAAUCAACACCGGCCAGGUCGCCCAAGCCCGAAAGUGCACCAAUCCUAAGACUGUUUCAGACCCCAGACACUCCCCUUGCUCCACCCUAAUAAAUUGGAGGGUGGACCACCCUCGGUCCCUCCAAGUCCUUCUCACUCAACCUGCUGUGUCAGACAGACAGAGGAACCGAGUUAAUACAGUUAACUCAUUAAUUAAUUAAUUAAAGACUGUUUUUUGCAUUGGAUUGGGUCUCUUGAAGGAUUUUAGAAAUUCACAGGGCCUUUUCAUUAUUACUGUCCAGCACAUUUGCAUACUGACACGUGCAUGACACAUCCAUGAGGAGGCUGCUGUGGGCUUUUGAUAGGAGAGAUGGGACAGCUGAGUCCUUCUGCAACAGUGAGGAAAGUUCUGCAAGAACUGUCUUAUAGUAUCCUAUGGUAUCUAUAUCUCUAACUAUGAUGCUCUGAGCCUUAAGAUCAAACUUCACACCACACACAGCUCUGGUAGGAAUGGAAGUGCCAUGGAGACAGAGGGAGCACUGACCUCAUCUUGUGAAGAAUGUUGCAGAGUCAUCAGUUUGGGGGGAGGGUGCUCCUCCCCGCCCACAGCAGUUCCUUGGCAGUCUCAACUCACAGUGCUCUCAUUUAAAGUGAUCCUGUGUAUAGCCACGGGAUCUCCAACUGCUCCCCUUUUUCCAUGCAGACUGGAAACUCAUAUUGAAAAACUCAAUAUUGUGGAUCUCUGCAAGUUUGAGGCCGGCCUGGUCUACAGAAUGAGUUCCAGAACAGGCUCCAAAGCUACACAGAGAAACCCUGUCUCAAAAAACCAAAGGAGGGAGAAAGAAAGAAAGAAAGAAAGAAAGAAAGAAAGAAAGAAAGAAAGGAAGGAAGGAAGAAAGAAAGAAAAGAUAUAAGCCAACCUAAAGCUGGGCAUUCGCAAGGAAUGAAUAAACAAAGACUGACCUCCCUGAGGAAAUCUGAUCAUGCCAACAACAGUCUUCGACUUGAGCUGCAAGAUUAGGCCUGUGAGUCUCCUGCCUGCAAGUUCACAUUGAGGUCUGUGGACUUGCCAGUCUCCAGGAUAGCAUGGAUCAGUUCCUUAAAGUAAAACUUGUUCUUGUUCCCUCUCUCCUCUCUCUUCCUCCCUGCCCCUCCCUCUCCUCCCCCUGCCACCCCUCCUCUUCCCAUUUGGUUCAGUUUAUCUGAAGAAC
This 1515-nucleotide long non-coding RNA is filed under the name Cricetulus griseus (Chinese hamster). RNAcentral's name for it is "lncRNA (ENSCGRG00015032690.1)". Lineage: Eukaryota; Metazoa; Chordata; Mammalia; Rodentia; Cricetidae. The record is from RNAcentral.